CGACGCAGGAAAGGUGUGGUGAGGUCGCACAGCCGAAUACUUCAUUCAGCGUUGAAGCAAAUAUGUCUUGUGAAUGACAUUUGUUCCUGUAAGAAGAGGACGCAGGUAUGGUGUGGUGAAGUCGCAGAGGCGCUGAAGCAAAUAUGAGAACGUCUUAACUGCCCCUUCCUAGGCCGAUGCGACUGAUACAAACCUCCACAACCUUCUGCGAAUAUUUUGGAACUGGAGAGAUGCAAACACACACAAUGUAUAUGGUGAAAAAUUGUGAAUGCUGUUUUUGUCAUUUCCAACGUGUUUUAGGACUACAUAUAUUUUUGUAUAUAUUGAAAUUGAGAACAAAGAUGAAUAGCGUACUUUUUAAAAACUUUAAAGUAGUUAUUGAUCAAAUUAUACCUUGGGUCAAACUUGGAUGUAUCCAAUUCUAUUUUAAAGCAUUUUAGUUUCUCUCUAAUUGUCUUAUAUAAUGGUGUAUCUAUUAAAGUGCUUCAAAUGACACUAUGUAAUAUUCAGUGUUUGUAAAUAUCAAAUUUCAACCUUGAAAGUAAAAAUGCAGUUUUUCUAAAAUUGUUUUUUAAUUGUUUAUCUAAUCCGUCAACUUCCACAAUAUUUGUUAUUAUUUACCUUGGAGAAGCCAAUUUUGUAUUUUUUCAUUUGAAUUUAUUUUCUGACACAUGUGUACAACAGUUGUGACCGAAUAAAUGAGCUAUCCAUUGGA
Long non-coding RNA from Lingula anatina, 715 nucleotides. RefSeq lists it as uncharacterized. Lineage: Eukaryota; Metazoa; Brachiopoda; Lingulata; Lingulida; Lingulidae. The record is from RefSeq and is a predicted model, not a curated record.